RNAcentral lists this ribosomal RNA (468 nucleotides) under uncultured bacterium. Its description in RNAcentral is "partial 16S ribosomal RNA". It matches the Rfam family "Bacterial small subunit ribosomal RNA", at positions 28 to 507 of the family's 1533-position model. The record is from RNAcentral.
GACGAACGCUGGCGGCGUGCUUAACACAUGCAAGUCGAACGGAAAGGCCCUGCUUUUGUGGGGUGCUCGAGUGGCGAACGGGUGAGUAACACGUGAGUAACCUGCUCUUGACUUUGGGAUAACUUCAGGAAACUGGGGCUAAUACCGGAUAGGAGCUCCUGCUGCAUGGUGGGGGUUGGAAAGUUUCGGCGGUUGGGGAUGGACUCGCGGCUUAUCAGCUUGUUGGUGGGGUAGUGGCUUACCAAGGCUUUGACGGGUAGCCGGCCUGAGAGGGUGACCGGCCACAUUGGGACUGAGAUACGGCCCAGACUCCUACGGGAGGCAGCAGUGGGGAAUAUUGCACAAUGGGCGGAAGCCUGAUGAAGCAGCGCCGCGUGCGGGAUGACGGCCUUCGGGUUGUAAACCGCUUUCGCCUGUGACGAAGCGUGAGUGACGGUAAUGGGUAAAGAAGCACCGGCUAACUACGUG